CGGCCUCGGGGUGCACGCCCCUCUCCAGAGGCGGGCGGGCGGGCGGGAGAGGCUUCCGAGCCAGCUGUGUGACAUCCGUUUCCACGGCCGCACUGACGUCUGGAGGUGUAAGUUCAAGAGCUGCCAUUGGCCAGGCGCGGCUUGAGCUCUUCCCCCUUCACUUCCCACCCCACCUUCGGCCCCGGGACUCCGCAACGGAGGCCCGUUGGGAACCCAAGAGCCAGUUUUCCCGGAAAGGCGGCGGUGGAGAGCCCGGAGGGAGUGACACAUGCGCCGCCCUUGGGUGAUGGGUGGCAGUCCAGUGAGGACCCGUUAGUUGUGCGACACCACUGAUGGUCCUCAUUUUGUCUGGGUACCUGUUGCACGCUGCUGCUGCUGCUGCUGCUGCCUUUGCACACAGUUGCAAGGUGAGAGCACGUAUCAGAUUACCCAUGUAUGCUGCAAGGUAGUUUCUCAACACAAGGAGUCAUCCAACAUUCCAGGCUUCAGGAUCAGUGUUACUGUUGGCACCUUGGAAAUCCCAGUUUGUCCACGAUAUGGAGGCCCGUGCGGUGCCCACACGUCAGGCUUUGGUGACCAAGGUGGGAAAGUAAGCUUGCAGCUGACCCUUUAGAAAUCUUAAUUACACUGAUCCUGGCAGAUACGGUAGUAACAGGUUCCCUGGUAUGGAGCGGUUAGCUUUCACAGGGAGAAGGUAGGGAUGGCUGUCUUAGUCUCUUCUGCUGCAAAAAACAAUACUAUAGACUGGUUAAAUUAUAAACAGUAGUUUAUCUGCCUCUUGGUUCUGGGGGGGCUUUGGAAAGGGGAGUAACAUCGCGCAGUGUCAGCUAAGUGGCAGGGCAGGAGACAAUCCGUCGUUGUUUUUAUGAGGAACCCAUUCUUGUGGUGGCAAUCCAGUCCUGAGGACUCCAAUGUCCUCAUCAACUCUUAAAGGAUCCGACUCUUAGUAAUGUUGCAGCCACACUGUUUGCAGGGGCAGAUUUCAGCGUGAGUCUUGGAGGGGACUUUCAAACCAUAGUAACGGUUCUAAAGCGGGAGAAUGGAAAUGAAGAGGAAAAGGAAGAAUGUCUUCGUUGUGACUGGAGGAAGGAGGAAAGGAAACCAAGUUUGGAAAGAAAUAGGGUAAAUCCUGUUUCUGGAAGUUCCUAGUUUCCAUUAAAUGAAGGCCCACUGCCUGCUGAAGAAGAGUGGUGGGUGUCUUUGAAAGCUACCAAGAAGAAGGCUGGGGAUGUGGCUCCACCCUGACAUACCAUCAGAUUUUUGCUAACAAUGGUCUCUUUUUUCAGAAACCACCCUUUUAAAUCUACAUAUUCAGAAAUCCCACUUCCAGGGCUUGAUAAUAAUGAAAUGGAAUUCAAGAAACAAAGAUUUGUCCGAGAGACUCACAUACCUGUUGCAAUAGAUUGUGCUGCCUGAACUCCUUUUUCCUCUAGAUAUUACCCAUGUGGCCAUAGUGGGUAUCAGGGGAGGGAGUCUUCCAGGGCUCCAGACCUUCACUAGUGACAGGCAGAGUUAAGGCCUUAUAGAUCCUUUGCUGUCUCCACUUGGCUAUUCCUUGAGCAAAAAAAAAAAGGCUGUUCUUCAACUGUUGGAAAGUAUGGCCCCGUCAGAUUCAUGUGAGUCAAACACAGACCUACCCUUUGACACAUCAAUCCCACAUCUUGUAUUCGCCAAGAGAAAUAAAACCCUUUAUCUACAAAGAGACUUGUACAAAAAUGCUCAUUGCAAUUGUACUUAGGAUAGCAAAAUCCUCAAGAAGCCCAGAUGUCUAUCAGUGGGAGAAUGAGUAAGUUGGAAUAUUCACCCAGUGCAACACUACUCAUGAAUUAAAAAUAAAAUAGAAUAUGAAUGAAUCUCACAAAUGUGUGUUGAAUCAGACCGUGGAGUUAGAACCCAAGAGUGUCUUCCUGAUUUUAGCUAGUCUUUUAUAGAGAGCCUGGCACCGUGCGGGCCCAUCAGAGCUACAUAUGUACUCUUAACUUCAGAUUCCUAUUUUUAAAAAUGAGUUGAACAGAUGAGUCUGAGACUUUUGAAGUUUCUGAAAUUUACAGUAGCUACUUUAUUACAAUUCCCGAGCCAGUCAGCAAUGAACAUACUGUCUUUGGUCUCCUGGCUGCACUCUGCCUUCAUGAGAAGUGACAUCUAUGUUGGACAGUUAAGAAAUCUCUCUGCUCUCACCCCCUCCCUUCACCCACUUAGAUCUUGAAAGGAAAAAAAAUUCCUCAGUUUAGCAUUGCCACUUAACUCUUCACGAUAGUACAGCUCUCAGUCUAGGGGUUCACACCUGUAAUCCCAGCACUGAGGAGGGUGAGGCAGGAAAAUUGUCACAGUUCAAGGCUUGCCUGGGCUACUGACAUUUACAGGGGGAAGGGUAAAUGCUGUUAUUGUCAUUGUGGUUUGAAUGAUAAAUGCCUCCCGUAGUCUCAGACAUUUAAAUACUUGGACCCCAGCUGGUGCUGUUGGGGUUAGGUUUAGGGGGUGGAGCUUGAUGGAAAGGUAGGGAGCAGGCUUUGAGGUUUCAGAACUUCACAACACUCCCAGUUCACACUCUGCUUCCAGCCUGUCCUUCAGAACGUAAGCCCUUCCCUUAGGACUCUAAUCCUGAGACUGUAAACCCAAACACAUUUUCUAUGAGAUGCAUUGGUCAUGGCGUUUUUAUCAAAGCAAUGGAGAAGUAACUAACAUAGUCACCGAAACUGUAGGAACUCAGUACCCUAAAGAGUAACACAAGAAACAAAACCAUGAGCAAGAGUUAAUACAUUGCGAUUAGAGACCGUUUUGGGCAGUUAAAUAUUAAAGAAAAACUAAUAAACCCCAUAAGCCUGUGUAGACAGAGACUAGACUGGUCCUUUCAGCUAACCCUUGGUAGUCCUGCCAACAUCUGGCCUGGCAUUGUCAGCUAAGUUACAUGGUCUCUUGAGCAUAAACAAUCACCAAACAUCAAUGUCACGUAGACCACUGUGGCCAUAGUAGAGAAAGUGAGAAAAAAAAACUCUCCACAAUCAUGUCUGAAUACAUCAAACACACCAGCAUCCUCCAUACUUACAGUGGGCAGGAGGCUUGACUAAAGACACCUUUGUAUUCUGUGUUGUAAGGGCAUAUUUGUACCUGAUACUGUAGAAAGGAGUUUGCACAUACAUGCGUUUAAUAGCUUUUUAGGCACUGCAAAUGGCUUGUUCUGAGUUAAUCCCUGCCCCCAGCCCAGAGACUUAUAGAGGAGUAAAAGGGUGAUAUCUAAAACACUUAAGAUUGAGCAUUUCAAAAGUGCCUGGAGCCAGAUGUCCAUAAAAUGAGAGACACAGACAUCACAAAGUUCAUAGAUCUGGGUGACAAGGGAAAAAACAAGAUUUCUAGAUGAAGACUAUGUACCCAUCCUUCAGCAGCUCCCUGUGUAAUCGGCUGGCUGGAGAGGAGAUACAGCAGUUAUUUCUUUUAAGGUAGUGGUCUGCUGCCCUGUCAGAGCACUGGAUCUCAACAGAGCCAGCUUAAAUGUUUAAUUCCUAACUGCUCAUUGGCCUUUAUGGUGACAGGCAUAACAAACUCUAGUAUUUGGGUUUCCUAAACCACAAAGCUGAACAUGUAGCUAUUGUAAGUGACUCCUGUUUUCUGACCACUUAAAAUGACAGCUUUGCUCUAUUCUUCUUGUCUUCUGGAUAAUACAUGUCAAAAUAUCUAUUCCUAGAAGCUCUUCUGCUCUCCAACAUCCUCUACCGCCCUCAGAAUAACCCCCAAAGCCAGAUUCCGUAGUCUUUCCAAUGCUCUCUUAGUAAGAGUUGCUGCAAUAUCUCAUGUUCUGGUUGCCUGUUUGCAACAAGACAUUAAUCUCAACUGUGUUUGACUAGGUAUGUCUUUAGCUGGGGGUAAUAGCACUUACAUCACCGUAUAUCUAAAAUCACUCCCUCUACUGUACUUAUUACCCUGCCUUUUUUUUCUUUCUUUCUUUCUUUUUGACUCAUUGUCACAUGUCUGUCUGGAAGUUUGGCAGUUUGUUUUCUAAGUUUGGUGUUUGUUUGUUUGUUCUUGGCCAAUUCUGUCCCACUAGAAUGCAGGAGGGAAAAAAUGAGUUGGUUUUUUUUGUUGUUGUUGUUUUGCUUUGUUUUUUUCAAUUCUCAGAAGGUAAUUUGGCAACUAUGUAGAAGAAGAGAAUGAGAACAGGUAAUUAGUAGGAAGACCAGCAAAGAUUAUUCAAGGGAUCAGAAGAAAAGCUUUGAAUGAAGGAAGGCAUCCUUGGGACAAUGAAGUAAGAUAGGGUUGAGCAACAUUUCUGAUGUGGAUUUUCAGGUAUUUCUGAAUUAUUUAUUAAUUGAGUGGAAGGAAGAGAAUGAUGGAUAGGAAGGAAAUGAACACCAAAAUUACAACUUCCAUGUUCCUGACUUUCUUUCAGUGAAGCUCAAUGUACUGAAAUUUUUUGCGAAUGUGAGCAAUAUCCCCAACCUAGGGAUACAACAGUAGGAUGUGCACUGAAGUAAACUUCAAAGGAAACCACUUUGAAAUAAAAGCCUUAAAUUGGGCGUGGUGACCUGCACCUGUAAUAGCAAGACUGUGUUAAAAGACAAACAAUAACAAAUAGGCUUUUCUCUCUUGUCUAAAAUAUACUGACUUUUAAGUUCACAUUUGCCUGUAAAACUUACCCAUGCAUAAAAAGGCUUUUUAGUGCAUGCAGUUGGGUAAUGAUUGUGAUGCACUGCUCAAACAUCAUAUCAAUGAUACAAGAGCAUAUUUGUAUAAUGACACAUUUUCAUGUGUCAUUAAUCCUACCGAUUGUGGUUGAGGGGAUGGAGGGCUUGGAGGGCCCUUGUAGAAGGCAAAAGAAAAUAGCUUUGGCAUCUGGAACUCAUGGAACACACAAGGUAUCCAGAAAUGUUAGAACAAAUAGAUUUUAAAAGAAUUCACUUUAGGAAGACAACCUUGUUGUUGGUUGUUUUUCUUCUUUUUUUUUGGGGGGGGGCAGGGGGGCUGCCACUCAGUUCCCAAAUAAAUCACACAUGGAGACUUAUUCUUAAUUAUAAAUGCCCGGCCUUACCUUGGCUUGUUUCUAGCCAGCUUUUCUUAACUUUAAAUUAUCCCAUCUACCUUUUGUCUCUGGGCUUUUUAUCUUUCUCUAUUCCUGUAUACCUUUCUUUACUUCUUACUCGUGACUGGCUGUGUGGCUGUGUGACUGGCCCUAAUGUCCACCUCUCCUUGUUGUCUUGCUUUUUCUUCUUUUUCCCAGAUUUCUCCUUCUAUUUAUUCUCUCUGCCUGCCAGUCCUGACUAUUUCUCUCUCCUGCCUCGCUAUUGGCUGUUCAGCGCUCCAUUAGACCAUCAGGUGUUUUAGACAGGCACAGUAACACAGCUUCACAGAGUUAAACAAGUGCAACAUAAAAAAUAAUGCAACAAAUCGUUGCAUCAUUAAACAGAUGUGCCACGGCAUAAACAAAUGUAACACAUCUUAAAAUAAUAUUCUACAACACAACCUAUUCUUGAAUUUAUUUCAGACACUAACUGCCACCCAGACUGUUCUUCCUUCGCCUCUCUCUGGUCUCAGCCCAGAUAUCCCUUUCACAGGACCACCUCUUAGUUUCUCUGCUGAACUGCUCUGUAGAACUCCUUCACGCCAUCACCUGCAGUUGUGGUUUCUGUUUUAGUUAAUGAAUUAAACCCUACUUUGUUUACUUCAGAAUAAUCAGUGCCUAUGAUUGUUAAUCAGCUGGAUUUUAAAGGUUGCAUGUCUCCCGUGAGUCUGAUCUAACUAGGUGAACCACAUAAAAGCAGGUCCAGAAGUGAAUCAUGGUGAAGUUAGGGAGGUUCAGCACAAGCUGCAGAGGCUUUCCUGUUGGCCUUGAGAGGGUUGUGUGGCAAGAAACGGCAGGUGACCUCUGGAGACAGAUGAGCCUCUAGCUGACUGACCCCUGGAGCUCAGCCUGAUAAAAAGCUGAACAGAGAACACAGCUGAACCCAGGGCAGGACUCCUGACUUGCAGAUCUACAAGCAGUACCCAGGUAUUGCUUAAAUCCCUUUAUCUCUAGGACUUGUUUUUUGCAGUAACAGAAAACAUGUCCAAAUAGUCCUGUGGAAUCCAAAACAUAGUUUUAAUAGGAGAAAGCAAAUAAUUAUCCUUUGUAUAAAAGAAAACAACUAAGUAGUACUUAAUAUAAAUGAUUUCUUGUUCUCCAAAUUUUACAUAUGUUAUUGGGAUAAUUAAGGCAAAUGUGGAGGUUUAUUGUACUUUAUUUGAUAAAGAUCCAUAUUUAUCAUUUUUUUAAUGAAAUAAAUACAACACAAAGAUCUACUACUUCUAUUCCCUCAAGUCAGUGUCCAGCUAAGUCUUAUCAUUUUAUUUUCUCAUUUUCAACUGGUGCAAAUUAAUCUAUCUAGGUUUCCCUAACCAAUUUCAUUCGUUUUCUCCCAGAAUUUAAUAACAUUUGGGUUUCUCAUUACACAGCUUUUAAAUUGCUAACAGUAACCCAAGGCCAGAUAAUUAAAACUGUUUCAGUGACUCAAAAAUAGCAAGCUAUGCAUGAGUUGGGGAGAAUUGCUCUCCUUCCCCUCCCCACUCACCCAUCCACCAACACCUAAGGCAGAUAGGAGAGCUGGCCCUGAAGUCACAAGAGCAGGAGAGCCAUCCCUGCCCUUCACCAGCUGCGACACUUGGGAGAGCAGGCCCUGCACCUCACCUGGGCAACACAGUAGAGCCAACCCUAUUGGCAGAGGUAUAAGUGAGCCAGCCCCAAUGUUGUAAGCAUAGGAGCUGUCCCCACUACUCGUCUGUCAUGAAGUAGUGUGGGAGGAAGAGAGAUGCCCCCCUUACCCCUCGCCCCUUACAGCCUGCAACAGAGGAGGGAGCAAACCCUCUCCCUUACCAACUGCAGCACUCAGGAAAGCAGGCCCUUUUCCUCGCCUAGGCAGCACAACAGAGCUGGUCGGAGGUGAGGGUGACCCAGCCCCAGUGUUGUGAGCAAGGGAGAGCUGUCCCCAUCACUGACAUGUGGUGGCAUGGGCAAGGGAGAGGUGGCCUCACCCCCACCCACACCCCUGCCCAUCAAUUCCUGAAACAGGUGGAGGAGCUGGCCCUGGGAUCAUAAGAGCAGGAAGACUCCCCCCCCCCCACCAGCUGCAGCACUUGGAAGAGUGACCCCUCUACCUUGCCUGGGCAACACAACAGAGCUAGCUUUGGUGGUGUAGGGUAUGGGAGAGCUGCCCCUGAGGGUGUGAAAGCAGGAGAACUGUCCCCACCCUUUUCUCAUUGCUUCAAGAGGUGAAUUAGCCCCAGCAAUGCUGGAGAGCUCAGCCUGGUGAUGAGGACAGGGGAGAACUGGCAGGCUGACCAACCCUACAGCUCCCCAUGCUCAGAACCAGUUAUGGCUUGGCCUGCACCAACAUCUACCUCAUCUGUGAUCUACUGGAGCACAUGAAGGGACCUGACCUGCAGACCCAAAGCUGCAGGAUCUCCACAACACAGGGCAACAACAGGAUAUCCGAACAGAGUUCCGGUGAGGGCCCAUCAUCAAUAAUGUAGUAGAAACCAGAGACCUCAGACCAGACCAAUGACUCUUUGCAAUGAACACUUGCAAGUAAAGAUAUAUGGACAAAGGAGUUUAACUGUGUGACUCACUGUGUCAUACUACAGCUUCUUCCACAAUGAGAUUUUUAAUUUUUUCCCCUUUUUACUCUUAAAUUUUGUUUUAUUUUGAGGGGUGUAGGGGUGGAGGGUAGAUGUGAAGGGAUGGGGAAAUGAAUGGGAUCAAGAUACAUGAUAUAAGACACAGAAUAAAUAAAGUAAAAACAUGCUUUAAUAGAAAAAAAAGCACUUUCCCAAUACCACAUGCUGACAAUUUGUGGUAUUAUUCUAAUAGUCAACCAAAAAUUUAUGUUCCAAACAUGCUUGCUCUGCCUUGAAUGUGAUGAGUAGAUUGCCCCUUCUUAACUCAUUUCAAAUACCUAGAGAUAAAACAGUCAGAACCAGGAUGCACAUACUGAAGGAACUUCAGUGCAAUCCCUUCUGUGACAGGUGCAAGCAGGGGACAAGGGAAGGGUGUCAGGACUCCCAUUCAUCACAGACCACCAACUACAGCCUUCACCUCUCCUCUGGUCCUCUCUGAUCCUGCUGGCUUUAUAGUCCCUGGAGUACAGAACUUUUUCCUUGUGUUUAAAUGGUGGGACAUUGGUCUUUGUCAACACAUAGGGAAUGGGUAAUUUUUUGUGGUUAUAAUAAAGGCUAGUUGGCUUUCCUCUCUAAAAAUAAAAACAAUAAUCACACUUAAGUUUGAAAAACAAAAAGGAAGAAAUGACUUGGUAAUAUGUUCUCUAUGACCUCGUAAAUUGCACUAGCUCCCCUGACCUUUAGGAAGAUGCUUAGCGUGGGCACAUCAGCAAGGCUGUCUUGUGUGACCUUGAGUUUUUAGUCUGCUCUACUUGCUUUUUUAAUACAUCAUAUUGGUUAUUGUUACUAUGUUAAAUGUAGUUUCAUGUGUGCUGCCCAGCCAGACCAACAGUAUGGAACAAUGCAACUGGGUCAUCCCUAUUUGGAAUCCACGCUUACUCUCUGUUAAGAUGAGGGUACAAAUUUUUUCUUAGUUUUAUUUACUCUUUGAAACUAGCUUGAUCUUGUCGAGGUCUUCUGUAGGUAACCACAGCUGCCUUGAGUUCAUGCCUGCAACAGCCCUGUCAAGUCCAGAGGACAGCACCUCACAGCCUUCUUCCCCAUCUUUCUGCUCUUACACUUGAUCCCCCUGCCCGCCCUGCCCCCCCCCCCGACGUUCCCUGAGUCCUGGAAGGUGAGUUCUUCUCCUCCUUCUGAGGGUGCAAAUUUUUAAAUGUGGUCUGUAACACAACUAGUAAAGUAGAUGAGGGAAUAAUUCCCUAAAUUUGGUUGUUCAGUAAACUUAAGAGUUACCUCUCCUGUUACAACUGAACACUGCGGGUGAGUAAAGUCAGUUGCAGGGUUUUCUUUGAAGGGAAUUACUGAAAGAACUGUUGUCUUGGGUAGCACAGUGUCCUAUGUAGCUUCCUUUCAUGGCUGCUUCAUAUCUUCAUUUCAGCCUUGCUGCAUGUGUGACACAGAAAAAGUGACUCCCCUGACAUAAGUAUAUUUUAUCUCUAUUUUCUUCAAUGUAUGUAAAAAUUGACAGCCCAGGGCCAGUAACAUGGCUCAGUGCCAGAGGGGCUGAGUUUGAUCCCCAGAACCAAUGUAAAGGUGGAAAGAGAGAACCAACCCUAAAAGUUGUCUAACCUCCACUUGCCAAGCAUGGCACGCCUGGAGCCAUUCUCACACAUGUUAUACACACAGUAAUAAUAAACAAUUAAAAAGGCAUGUUAAAAAUCAACAGCCCACAGCAUUACUGAGUUAGAUUUCUUUCAAUAAUUUACAUCUUUCUUGCACUUUAAAUGAGAUGUGAUCUCUGUUGAGUUAGUAAUAUGUAACACAAACACAGACCAUGGUAGGUAUUGUUUUCACAGGCUGUCAAUACAGAAGAACACUUUCCAAACUGAGUUUCUUCAUUUUCCAUAUCAACCAUGGAUGGAUAAAUAAUAUCCUCGCAUCACCAACAUUGAACAUUAUUAUACAUUUUUUAAAUAAAAGAAUAGAACUUACUUUGAAAGUGUAAGGGUACUAAAUGAUCAAAAUCUUCACUGAUGAAAUUUUAUGGAGCACAGUCAUUAGACGGUGAAAAUUCAUUAUUACUAAAGGAACUUUAAUUCUGGAACAUACCCUAAAACCAACUUUCAAUUGCAUUGCUUAUUCCGUACUGUUUCAUCUACUUCAUUAUCAACCAGCCUCCUCUCACCCCUGAAAUAACCUCAUUUCUAGCUGUCUUUCUAUUCCUUUCUACCUCCUAAUGAUAUUAAGAUAUGCUUCAUAGUAUCUUCUUAUGGAUUUAGUUCUGGGAAAUAGUCUGUGAAGAAUAUUAAUCCUUUUCAGGCACAUUAGAGAGAGUAUUUGCUAAGAUCAAGUUGGAGGAUAAUUGCUCUGAGAAACGUUGAAGAGAGGACUAAUGGGGGGAAUAAUAGUAUCUGGAAUAAAACGUGAACAUGGAAGGCAUUUUCUGGAAAAACAACUUAUACAAAUACAUAUAUAUGAGAGACAGGGUGAAAGGCAGAAAUGUAAAGCUCCUCACAUCUGCCACAAUAAUUUUAAGAAAACCCAAAUGAUUCAUAACUGUAGCUUGUAUUUUCCUUUGAGGUAAAAUUGAGUCGAAACAAAGAAGUACAGAUUUGCAGUGUUAGGGAAAGUCUGGUGAUUUCUGAGGAGAAUAAGGCAGCAGCUCAACCAUAGAAGAAUACGCUUGAAACCAGGGAACCUAAAGGAAAGACAAAUUCAUGUUCUAUUUGGCAAGAUUCUUUCUACUUGGCAAGAUUCUUUCUAAAAUCUCACUCAGCUUUGAAAGAUCCCUGCCUGUCCCAGGAACAUUUAACUCUAUGUCAUUAUCCAUUAGAGUAAUGUAAAUUGAGCCCAUAAUGAGAUUCCAGCAAAACCUAUUACAAUAACUAUAGUUAUUGACAUAGCAAGGUUAUGGGAGAAUUAACUUUACCAAUGAUGGAAAUACAAAAUGGUACAAUUGCCUUGGGAAACCGUUGCUAAUUUCUUAAGAAAUCUGCCAGGUGUGGUGGUUUACCCCUGUAAUCUGAGCACUUCAAAGCUUUAAGGCUCCAGGAGGAUGAAGGCCAAUCUGAGUUACAGAGGGAAAUUCUGUCUCAAAAAGUCAUGUAAUUUAAUUUAGUUUAAUAAAUAGUACCGUUUGUUCUCUUAAUCUCUAUCUUGUUUACACAAGAGAAAAGAAAUAGAUGUUCACACUGUCGGGCCCAGAUCGAGGGGACCCCCCCAAAAGACCACCACGGAGACCGAAUCCCAUAUGUAAAAGCAAAGAGCUUUUAUUUCAAGCUCUGAGCUUGGUCUCUUUGUCCGACACAGCAAUGUGAGCAGAGAGCCCCAGGCCCAGGCAAGUAGUAGUGUUUUUUAUCAUAGCAGAGGUUGGGGUGAGGGAAUUUCUAGGGUUCAGAACCCUGAUUGGCUGACAUUUGUCUAGAGGUAUCUGUAAAAGGAAAAUGGGUGUAUGCUAGGCUCAGGGACAUCUGAUGAUCUUAUCUAAUCUUAUCUAAUGGUUGGAAUGUUUGGGAUGUCAGGUACUUCCCCUUAGAUGCUGGCCCAUCCCUGGGUGGUGUUAGCUUAUGGCUUUUCCUAGAUCCAGGUGUUACCUGUCAGUAAGCUUGUCAUGGCAGUUGUGUGGUCAAGGUGUUUCCCCACCCCCCCCCACACACACACACAAGCUUUUAUGUGUACAUUUGCAGUAACUGUUAAGCUACCUGACACUGGAAGUGAACACCGAGGCAUCCACGUAGUGGGUCCAUCUCCAUUAAGAAGCAGUAAUAUGCUCUGUGUUCCCACAUGUAUUGGUUUCUUGCUUACUGCAUGAUUUGGUUUAUAUUCUUUUCCUAAAAAGGCAAAUUUGGAGAGACAGAACAGCAGAGGUUGCCAGAAUCUGUAGGGAGGCAAAGAGGGGACAUAGUCAAUGAUGCAGGGUGGCACGUUUUCAGAGAAUUAGAGAAUAUUUUUCAUCUUGAGUUGUGCAUUAGUUACUUUUCUUUCACUGUGAAGAGACACCAUGACUGAGGCAAAUUAUAGAAUAAUUUAUUGGGAGCUUUCAGUUUCAGUAAAUCUAUGACCCUUGUGAAGGGGCCCCAAAAAUAGCUUGAUCACACAGCAGCCACGACAGGCUUAGGGGCCUACACACAGCUUCUGUGACAGGCUUACUGGCAGGCAACACCCAGAUCCAGGAAAAGCCUUAAGCUGAUACCACCCAGGGGUCCACCCAGGUGUGAGGAAGUAACUGACAUCCCAAACAUUCUAACCAUUAGAUAAAGUGGCCAGAUGUCCUUGAGUCUAGCACACACUUAUUUUCUGUUUUAUAGACACCCCUAGACAAAUGUCAGCCAAUCAGGGUCCUGGACCCUGGAAAUCCCCUCACCCCAACCUCUGCUAUGAUAAAAAAAACUCUGCCCCUGAGCUCAGGGCUCUUACCGCUGUGUUGGACAGACAGAGGGACCAAGCUCUAGAGCUUGAAACAAAGGCUCUUUGCUUUUACAUAUGGGAUUAGGUCUCCGUGGUGGUCUUUUGGGGGUCCCCGUGAUCUGGGCAUAAUAGCCAUCGUGAUGGGAAGAGAACAUGGUAGCAGACAGGCAGGCAUGGUGCUAGUGCAGUGGCUGAGCGCUUACAUCUUGAGACAACAACAAGGUAGAGAGAGCCACCUGGGAAUGGUGUGCGCUUUUGAAACCUCAAAUUUUGCCCCUCCUAAUCCUUCCCAAAUAGUUCCACUGGGGACCAAGUAUUGAAAUACAUGAGCCUUUGGAGGCCAUUUUCACUGAAAAGUCUGUGCCAGGUCCAGUGUCUCUCUUUCUCUCUCCCUCUUUCCCCCUCUUCCUCUCCCCCCCCCCCCUCUGUAAUUUGUGGAUCAUGUGAGGUAUCAUCUACUGCUCUAGUACCAUAUCCGCCACCACACUCCCUGCCAUGAUGAUCAUGGACUAAACCUCUGAAAAUGUAAGCAAGCCCCAGUUAAAUGCUUUCUUUUAAAACUUGCCUUCAUUAUGGUGUUUCCUCAGAGGAAUAGAACAGUAACAAAGACAGAAGUUGGUACUUAUGAGUGGAGUUGUGGAGGGACCCCAAAACAGCUUGACCACACAGCUGCCAUGACAGGCUUAGAGGCCCAGACACAGCUUCUGGCAGGCAACACCUGAAUCCCGGAAAAGCCAUAAGCUGACCCCACCCAGUGGGGCCUGCAUCCUAGGGGAAAUACCUGACAUUCCAAACAUUCCCUAUACCCUAGACAAAUGUCAGCCAAUCAGGGUCUUGAACCCUGGAAAUCCUCUCACCCCAACCUCUGCUAUGAUAAACCCCCCCCCCCCUACCUGAGCUCAGGGCUCUCUGCUCUCACUGCUGCAUAGGACAGACAGAGAGACCAAGCCCUGGAGCUUGAAGGUAAUAAAUGCUCUUUGCUUUUACAUAUGGGAUUCGGUCUCUGUGGUGGUCUUUUGGGGAUCCCUGCGAUCUGGGCAUAACAGAGUAUUCCUGUAGCAAGACUGACCAUGCUGUUAGCUGGAGAAAUGUGGAAGACUUUGGGGCUCUGGAAAGCCUGGAAAGCGGUUGAACACUUGAAGCGGGUCUCAGUGGGCCAUCCUAGUUGUAAGUGAAGGUACCCUGAGACCACUGAACUAGACUCCUCCAUGAAUAGAGAGAAAGUUUAUUGGGGUUCAGACUGCCAAGGCUGCCUCAGGGUGGGAGGGACAAAUGGUGGGAAAACGAGCAGAUUUUACAUAAGUCAAUGAGGUGUCCAGAUCGCAGGGCCCCCCAAAAGACCACCACGGAGACCGAAUCCCAUAUGUAAAAGUAAAGAGCCUUUAUUUCAAGCUCCAGAGCUUGGUCCCUCUGUCUGUCUGAUGCAGCAGUGAGAGCAGAGAGCCCUGAGCUCAGGUGGGGCAGAGUUUUUAUCAUAGCAGUGGUUGGGGGUGAGGGGAUUUCCACAGUCCAGGACCCUGAUUGGCUGACAAUUGUCUAGGGGUAUCUGUAAAACAAAAAAUAGGUGUGUGCUAGACUCAAGGACAUCUGGCCACUUUAUCUAAAGGUUAGAAUGUUUGGGAUGUCAGGUACUUCCUCACACCUGGGUGGAUCCCUGGGUGGUAUCAGCUUGAGGCUUUCCCUGGAUCUGUGUGUUGCCUGCCAGUAAGCCUGUCACAGAAGCUGUGUCUAGGCCCCUAAGCCUGUCGUGGCUGCUGUGUGGUCAAGCUAUUUUGGGGCCCUUUCACAGUCAACAGGGUUGGAUCUUUGAGCUGAUGCUGGCUGUUCAAAUUGAUGGGUUCUAGGUGCCCUUGCUCUAGAUGGUUUACCUUUGGGGAGCUGCUUGGAACCUAACAUUGGUAGGUGCUUAGAAGACAAUAAUGGUGAGAGCCAUGUGGACUGUGUCAGCCUAGCUUAAAAGGUUUCAGAAGGGAAGAACUUCAGCGAGUGGCCUAAAGACCAUUCUUAGGAUAUUGUGGCAAAGAACGUAGCUGCAUUUUGCCCUUGCUCUAAAAGUCUGCCUGAGGCUAAAUUGAAGAGUCCUGAGCUAAUGUCACUGUGGGAGGAGAUUUCAAGACAGCUUCUUAUAUGGAAUUACAGCGGAAGGAGCAAGAGGGACAAAUAGAAAUACAAAAUGUACAGUUUGAGGAGAAAAGCAACACCAAGGCUGUAAUUGUUGGAGCCAAGUCCUUCUUAAGGGGGUGGGGAGCUUGAAGGAAAGCCUGAUGCUAACUGAAAUAAAGGGAGUGGUAUACUCAGGACAACACACCCACCUAAUCCUGCAGCUUGUAAAAAGGAAAGCCUAUGGAGCAAAGGACAUCAACUAGUCUUUUAAAGCUUAUGCAAAUGAAGCCAUGGAGAGGGCCAGGUUUUAGCCCUAACAGGCAGCAGAACUUGGCAGCUUCAGUCACAUGAUUUUGGAUUUAGAGUCAAGAAGGAUACAAGAAAGGGGUCAUGGGAUCUUUCGGGUUAUGGGACCUUCCUUGAUGGUUAAGGAAUGCCUCUGAGAUCAGGCAUUUGACAAGGAGGCCCUGAGAGACCGUGUGUGAAGCUGUGAAGAUGAAGCCUGGAUUGCCUUGGAGACCCCAAGAUGUUGGGGGUGCUAAAGCCAUGAGAUAUCUUCCAAGGAGAGCUGCAGACAGGUGUGGAACCACCCCAAGAGAAAGAAGUGUAUUGCAGUCAGCAAAGCUGGAGGAGUGCAAGACCCAAAGAGCCAUAUCUUAUAAGCCCUUGGACAUCAGGAAUAGAGAUAGAGAAUUUGGAGUUUCCCUGCUGAGUUUCAACUUUGAUUUAUAUGGUAUUUCCUCAUUGUGCCCCUUUUGGAAUGAUGGUGUACGUUCUGUGCUGGAAGUAUGUAACUGGCUUUUUUAUUUUAUAGGGAGUUACAGUUAAGAGAUAGCCUCCAGUCUCAGAAGAAAUGUUGGGCUUUUAAACAAUUAAUAUUAAGACUGAAAGACUAUAGGACUUUUAAAGGUGGACUGAAUGCAUUUUGCAUUAUGCUUUGACUACAAGCCUGUGGAAGUCAGGGAGUGGGAAUUGAUAGUCUGAAUGAAAAUGACCCCAUAGGCUUUUAUGUUUCAAUGCUGGAUCCCUCUAGGAACCUACCUGUCGGAAAGAGAACUGACCACAAGUUGGCAUCAGAAUUCCAUCUGCAUGCAUGCAUGCACCCACACUCACACACACACACACACACAAAAUAAAAUAAUUUUUUUUUAACUUCAGUGUCAUGAAAAUAAAAGAGUAGAAUAUUUUAACUGAAUCCAGGGAGAGAGCAGAAAUAAAAAUACCAAAUGUAGGCUGAUUGGACAGGGUGUACUGCAUGACACACGGCAGCUCCUAAUGCCACUGGUGUGAAUGAGGAGGUGCUGGGGGGCUGGAAAGACAGAGGAGCAAGGUGAGUUUUUGUCUGUUUUGUUUUUAAUUGUUUGAGGAGGACGCUGCAGGGGUAGGGGGCAGAUGUGGCAGGACUAGGGGUGGGCGGGUGCAUGGUGUGGCAUUCCCAGAGAAUUAUGUUAUAAAAAGAAAAAAUAUUGUGGGUGAGAGGGAGAGGCUGGGGGCAGGAGGAGGGAAGAGGGGGAUCUUUGAUUGCUGUGUAAAAUGAAUGAAAAAAAAUUUCUUAAUUAAAAAAAAAGAGAGAGAGAAAAAGAAAAAAAACCCAAAUGGAUGAACCUGGAGUGUAUUAUGUUUUGAGAUAAUAAAUCUAAUAAUAUUAUAUCUCUGUAGGAGAAAAUCAGGCAUGGCCUGGCAGCCAGCCUGCAGUUCUAAAUAAGAAGCAUGGCACACCAUGCUCCUGAAGUCAGAACACUGAAUUCUGAAGUAGCAUGAGCAGCCAGUAGCUGGCCUGCAGAGGAGUCUGCACUCUCCACGUCUCCUUUUACGGACGUCUUUAGAGACCCUGGUGCUGUGAACACUCACUGUCCAAUCGGAGGUCUCAUCAACAGGAGGAGGGAAAAACCAAAAACAACAAGAAGUCCUACCUGAGAAAACCUGGCUCCCACUCCAAACACUUGCCCACAUUAAAGGAAAAUAACACAAUCAAGAUGUGACUUCUCAGCUGAUCCUGCCACCAUGUUCUGGCUCCACCACCACAGACUCUAACUCUCUGAAAUGCCUUUUCAAGGAACAGAAGAAAGCAAGACUGCCUGCUGGGGAAAAGGACAUGAAGAUUAACAACUGGCUUUGCCACACCUGCUGAGGUUCUGCUGCCACCUUGUAUUACUACCUUGGAGAGCAAGGAGACAUUCAGCAUCAACAGAAGUACAAGCAGACUCUCACAUGCCAGUCAGAAUGUCAGAAAAUGAUGACAUCAGAGGGAAGCAAAGAUGCUACUCGGCCAUUUGUGUGAAGAAUCUGUGUUGUCUGGUCAGCUGGAGCUGGAGAAUUGGCUGUGAUUGACAAGAGACCAGAACCACUAAAGUAAAACCUUUGCUUUCCUGGGAUGAUGGAUGCUGGACAGCUAGGGCUGAAGAACCAUUUGUGAGUUAGAAGACGCCAGCAUCACUGAGGUAAGGUCUUCUGGGAAGUGUUUCCUCAGGCUCAGCACACAGAAGCUGUGUUCCAGAAGCCGCCAAGUGCUGGCAGCAGAACUUGGUAGUGUAAGAGUCACCCAGGUGGUACUGGUUUUGAAGACAUGAAGAGGUCAUGGAGAGCAGCUGAGGCUUGACACUGUGUAGCAGGGCUGGAGUCCCUGAAGAGAGCCUAGGAGAGCUAUUGGUAAAAGUGUAGCCCAGUGGCAGCAAGGGACCCCAGCAUUUUGGUGAUGCUAGUACCAUGGGACCACCACCAAAAAGUUGUGUGUGUUGCAGAGGACAGAGCCACAGAAGUGACCCAAGCCCCCUGGAGGAGCCCAGAAAAUGGGACUCAGGGCAGGAACUUCAGUAGAUGCCGUGGCGGAUGGAGGAACACCGCUUCCUGGCUUUUCCUUAUGGCUUGCUCAGGACGGCACUGACCGCAGUGGGCGGGGCCCUCCUACACCAAUCAACAAUCGAGAAAACGCCAGCCACACAGACACGCCCACAAGCCAAUCUGAUGGAUGCGAUUCCUCAAUUGAGGUUCCCUAUUCCCAGCACAUCUACAUGAGGAUGACCUUUGGGUGGUGCUUUUGCAACAAAAUUUCCCGGGACUUUUAAUGUAGCUGGAAUUUGUGCUUACGUGUAAUUUAUUCUCGAUUGCUUAUGAUCUACCUGUGGAUAUUUUAAUGACAGCAGAAGAAAAUUGAAGUUCUGGAUUUUGUAUUGGAACUGUGUAGUGAGUAGCCAUUCCAGCUUUGAUCUGGAAGUUCCAACCCCCAUUGAGACUUCAGCAACUGUCACGCCUACAAGGCGGGGCCAAGGGAGGUGCCUGGAGACUGGAGAGCUGGAUCGGCGCUCUGUUCCGGGACCCUGAACUGGAGAGGUGGACCAAGCAGAGCUCCAAAGAACACCGCUGGACUGCGAUACACCUUCCCCAGACCCCGCGACCUACCUAUCCCUUAAUUUGUAAGUUACGCCAUUAAAUAAAUCUCCCUUUAACUACGUGGAGUGGCCUUAAUAAUUUCACCAAUAGAACUGUUCCAAACUUGCCCUGUCUACUUCCUUGUCAACUGAAGAUUUGUGGUGGUCUGUCUCCAUGAGAUGGCCCCCAUAGGCUCUUAUAUUUGAAUGCUUGUUCCGUAGGUGGGAGAACAGUUUGAGGAAGGGUUAGGAGGUGUGGCCUUGUUAGAGGAGGUAUGUUACUGAUGGGUGGGCUUGGAGGUUUGAAGAGCCUGUAUCAGGUCUAGUCCUUCUCUCUCUGCCUCUGACUUUUGGAUAAGAUGUGAGCUCUCAGCUACUGCUCCAGCCCCAUGCCUCUGUGCUUGUGGCCUUGCUCCCUGCCAUGAUGGCCAUGAACUCAUGAAAUUGUAAGCAAACCCCAAUGAAAUGACUGCUUUAUAAGUUGCCUCGGUCAUGGUGUUUCUUCAAAACACUAGAACAGCAGCCCAGACAGGCUUUAUAACUAUUUUUCUUACUCUCUCUUGCUCACUCUUGCCCAAAUGAAAUCUUUUAAAACUCUUGAGUUAAGACACAUUUUUCCAAGCACUCUCAAUGUUCUUAAGGCUUCUCAGUCAUUUCAUGUAUUAAUGUGCCUAUGACUCAAAAUCUAGAUUGUGUAAAUCUCUCUCCAUUCUAAUGCCUAUCACCACACAAUCUUCCCAGAGUAUUGGAAAGCUGGCCAAAUGUUACUACUUACUGUUCUAUAUUCCACAGUGCAUAAGAUCAUUGUUUCUAAGCAUGCUAUCAUCUGCUCUGAGGAUAUACAUCUCUCUUUCUCAAUCUAUGGAAAAAUAAUAUUAUUAAUACCCCCUUUAUACUGUCCCAUCUUCUUUUAUUAUGUCUGGUAGGAAAGUGACUGCACACUUAAUGACAGAAGGGCUAAUGACUUAAGCAAAACUGGUUGCUCAUCCUUGUAGUUGUCUUUGUUUCUCCUCAGACAAGCCUUCUGUGUGUAAAUAUGUCCAGACAUUGUCACAUUAUAUUGGAGUGUUCAGGAAGGCAUGAUAUAUCUGUCACUAAUGUACAUCUAUGCAAGGAAUUAAAGGAAACACAGCCCAGAUUCUCAGUUACAUGCACAGGAUAUAAGAUAACAACUCCACGCCUAAAUAUUAAAUGGUUUCAGUCUUUUUUUUUUCCAGGCAGACACAUUCUUAUCUUGGAGAUUCUGUCUAGAUAUGUGAUAAUACAGCUUUCUAACUGGGAGCCUUUGAUUUCCAAGUUCAGAAGAACAUGUUUUUACAGUUCUGUUAUUCCCAUCCCAGUUUUUAAGCUUUGUUAAAAGGACUCUAUUUCAGUGUGUUUUUUUUUCUUCUGUAAGUAUUAUAAUAGGAAACUCAUUGUUUGGAUGUGUGUAUUCCAGAUGAAAGUGAUUUCACACUCUUAAUGAAUUACAUAAAUCCCUUGGGUUUUCUUGAGCUAAAUUUCAAGUAUUUUUAUGUUUUUUAAAAUCUCACAACCUUUUUAAAAUGAUCAGAAAUUAAUAAAAUCCUGUCCCCAAAUAAACUGUAUAUCCUUAAUGAGAUGUGACAGCAGUGUCUCUACUAAUAACUCACAGACUGUGGCACAGGAGUCAAAGGUACCUGAGUAUUUCGGUUAAAAUGGGAUGCUAAUGACGCAGCCCUUAGAAGCGUCACUUCAGCAUCAUUAAAUUAGUUCCAUGCUGAGAAAGUGUCUCCUUUAAAUAUAUAUUCCACCCACUGUCCAGCUAGGCACAUGGUUCUGUGAUCUGCUUGCUUCAGUAGAAAGAGAGAAAAUGGCGUCAGUGCUGUGAGGAGAGGUUCCAGAGUGAAGGGAUCACAUUUCUAUAAAUGGAGGGUCAUUGGCUAACAAGCCACAGUUAUCUAUUUAAUUCCAAAUACUCUCGGAAAUGGAAGAUAAUUUUGUGUUCAAUUUUAAGCUGACCUGGAACAUUUUUUUUUUUCUUCUGGUAACUAAGCAGAGUACAAAAUGCCAAAAAACACCUGUCUGCCAUGAUUUCAUUGCCCACAUCCCACAUCUUCCCCAAGUUUAUUAUAAAGAGGCAUUAAUUACAGAUCCAACUAAUCACACAAAGCUGACAUGUAUAGCAUAUAAAAAGCUUUUCAUUGACAGAAAACCGUCUUCUCAGCUGCAAUUAUAUGAACAGUAAGUGAUAGUACCUGAAGGUGGCUAAUAACGGGUCUGAUUCCAGUGGGUCAUCCUGAGGCUGUACCCUGGACUCCAUCCACCUGUUUCAUCCCAGAGGCUGAAUAUAAAUUAAGUAGACUCCCAUAGAUGAUAUGCUUGUUCCAUCUAAACACUUAAAUUUCAUGACUCAAAGGGGCAAAUGAUUAGUAUUUGCUGCAUUUUAUAUUAAAAAUACACCAAGUGGAAGGACAACACAUAGCUCUAGCCUCCAUGUGACUUUAUUUGCCACCACUUUCUCAUGUGUAAUAUGUAACUUCAUGGGUUCUCUGAGAUUUUUAAGUUUAAAAGGAAAAUGUUACAUAGUGGGGAAAUUUUGAGAAACAAUCCAAUUUUAAACCUAGCACACUUGCAAGCAGCUUUUGGGAUCCUGCCAUUCCUUAGGUGUCUGUUACAUUAUAACUGUUUUUAACUACAGCAUUAAGAUGAUCUGUGUGCAUGCCUUCCAUUCCCCCAGUAUUAUCCAUUUAUUCUUUGUUUCUGGAGCACUAUGGUUCGACCAUUAUUAAGAAGGCAACGUUUUAUUACAAUAGCAGUUUUCAGUGUGCACGUAUUAAUCAGAACUCUCAAAGAAGAUUCAUAUGCCUUGUGAGAAAACAUCUAUUUGCAUAAGAAUAUGCUACCAGCAAGCUUAGAUAUCUUAUUGCUCGUAGUUAUUCUUUUUUUACAAAAUAUAGUCAGAUGAGCUGACUAAAACAUGUAAGCAUGGCAUUUAGGAUGCCAAGAGUGAGGUAUCCCCAGAGGUUCAAAGUCAACCUGGGCUUUAGUAUGAAAUCUGUCUCAAAAAUGUUCAAUUAUUUUAAUGCAACACACAUAUAUAUGAGAAGUGAAGAGUCUAUAUGCUGACCAUUUCUUUCCUGUUCGUCUCUACUCAUAAUUCUCUCCUCCUACAUUUGUUGUUGGCUGUUUUGUUGAUCUUUGCCAUUCCGAUGAGGGUAGGAUGAAAUACCAAAGUUGUUUUGAUUUGCAUUUCCCAAACUGCUAGGGACAAUCAGCAUUUUUCUCUCUUUUUAAAAGAUAUUUCUUAGCUAUUUUUUUCUUCUUUUGAGAACUUGCUCUUCAGGGCCCAGGUCCAUUUUUGAAUGGAUCAUUUGUUUUAUUUGCUUUUUAGUUCUUUAUAUAUUCUGGAUUUUAUUCCUCUGUCAGAUCUACAUCUGCAAAGAUGCUCUCCCAUGCUGUGGCCUCUUCACUCGGUUGAUGGUUUCUUUAGCUGUGCAGGUUUCUUUGAUUGUUUGUUUGUUUUAUGAAGUUCCAUUUGUCAAUCAUUGGCCUUAAAUUCUUGGGCAAAUGGAGUCCUAUUCAGAAUGUCCCCUCCCACAACUAUAUCAUGUAGAGUACUGCCUGUGUUAUCUUUCAGCAGUUACAGUGUUUCAGAUUCCAGGUUUUGUGCAAAGUGACAGAUACAUAUUUAAUUUCAUUCUUAUGCAUGUGGACACCUUGUUUUCCCAGCACCGUUUGCUGAAAAUGUUCUCUUUAGCUUAUGUCUUGGCAUCUUUGUCAAAAAUUAAGUGGCUGAAGUUGUGUCGCUCAUGUUUGGGUCUUCAAAUUUGUCCCAUUGGUCUACAUGUCUGUUUUUGUUCCCAUUUCAUAUUGUUUUAAUUAUUAUGGCUCUGUAAAAUAUCUUAAGAUUUAGAAAUGUAAUAUCUCCAUCAUUGUUCUUUUUGUUCAAAACUGUUUAAGUUAUCUGGGGUCUUGUGUAAUUCCAUAUGAAUUUUAGGAUAGAU
This is a long non-coding RNA of Peromyscus californicus insignis, 21424 nucleotides long. RefSeq lists it as uncharacterized. The transcript is spliced from 8 exons. NCBI's taxonomy places the organism in Eukaryota, Metazoa, Chordata, Mammalia, Rodentia, Cricetidae. The record is from RefSeq and is a predicted model, not a curated record.